This 1624-nucleotide long non-coding RNA is filed under the name Homo sapiens (human). RNAcentral's name for it is "HSALNT0371708". The record is from RNAcentral. Lineage: Eukaryota; Metazoa; Chordata; Mammalia; Primates; Hominidae.
GGUCCCUAAAUGAGCUGAUUCUCAUCAAAGCCGAGAAGCAUAGUCAGGUGUGGUGGCUCACGCCUGUAAUCCCAGCACAUUCAGAGGCCAAGGUGGACGAGCCACUUGAGGCCAGGAGUUCGAGGCCAGCCUGGCCAACAUGGAGAAACCUUGUCUCUAAAAAAUAAAAGAAUAAAGAAGCAGCAGAACUUUGUAGAGUCCCUCCAGGAAGCAGUGCCACGAGGCCUUGGGGCUGCUUACUACAACUGAAGGAAGUGUAAGCGACCGCCUCUCUGAGACAGCCAGAGAGGAAGUCUCAUUAGGUUGCCCAGACUGAUCUUGAAUCCCUGGACUCCAGCAAUCCACCUGCCUCGGCCUCCCAAAGUGCUUGGAUUAUGCGUGUGAGCCGUUGCACCUGCCACAUACCUGAAUUCUUUAUUGAGUGGAAAAUAUGGCUGACCACAACGCCCAGAUUUUAUAGACAGUAGUUCCACUGCCUUUGGGAAUCCAGUUCUUGUUCCCAAUUUCAGGUAUUAAUAUCCUAGGGAAUUCUCUGAUGUGCUUUUGGGUUUACCGGCCUCCCAUGGACCAUUCAUGUGUAGGAGGCAUGAAGGCCAGGGCACGUGAAAGCAUGCCUGCCGCCCUGGACACUGUUCAGCAGGUCCCAGAAGGAGCCUAUGUUUACAGAGUAAGAGGAGAGGCUGACCAGCAAACAGAAGGGUCUGAUUCAUCCCCAAAUCACGAGACGAGCAAGGAACAAGGGGGCUGGUUUGCCUGGAAUAGAGUGAACAAGAUAAAUGCAUGAGAGAUGAAGUCAGGAAGACCAUGGAGGCCACAAGCAUGAGGCCCGUGGGCCAUUCUGACACUGAGGUCUACUCCACAUGAGAAAUGAAGGAAAAUCAAGACACUAGCAGAGGGUGCAGAACUAAGUGAAUCUGUUGUCAGCAAAGGUGUCCCAAAAGAACGACUAAUGGAAGUUAUCUUAACAGAAAGUGAUAACAGAAGAGAUCUUGGAAUAUCAGAGACAAAGAAAGAACAAUGGAAAGAAGAAAAAAUGGGUAUGUAUAAUAGGCUUUCGUUCUCCUCAGUUUUCUAAAUUAUAUUCGAGAUAUGAAGCAAAAAUUAUAACACUGACAUGGUUCUCACCGCAUGUAGAGGAAAUAUUUAAGAUAAUCAUGUAUGAAUGUGGGAGGGUAAAGGACAUGAAGAACAUGAAGGGAAGUAAGGAUGACUUGAAUGGGUAAAACCAGUAGACUGUGGCAAGUUAUAUGUAUAAAAUAAAAUACCUGGAGCAACUGCUAAGGUCUACACUGUGCAAUACACUCAAAAACACUAUAGAGAAAUCAAAACAGAAUUCUAAAAAAUAGUCAAGUAAUUCACAGGGAGUCAGUAAAAAGGAGACAAGAGAAACAAACAAAAAACAGAAAUUACAAACAGAAAACAAAAAAUAAAAUGAAAGACUUAAACCUUAAUAUCAGUAAAAGAUGAGUUAGCAGAUGAGUAUUCAAAGGCAUACAAAUUGAUAUGAUGGACUUUGGAGACUCAGAAGGUGGGGAGAGUGAGAUUGGAGUAUGGGAUUAAAAAAUUACAUAUUGGGUACAGCAAACACUACGCGGGUGACAGGCGCACAGAAUUUGCUACUAUG